UACGGAGGAUCCGAGCGUUAUCCGGAUUUAUUGGGUUUAAAGGGUGCGUAGGUGGCUUUUUAAGUCAGGGGUGAAAGACGGUAGCUUAACUAUCGCAGUGCCUUUGAUACUGAAGAGCUUGAAUGAACUAGAGGUAGGCGGAAUGUGACAAGUAGCGGUGAAAUGCAUAGAUAUGUCACAGAACACCAAUUGCGAAGGCAGCUUACUAUGGUUUUAUUGACACUGAGGCACGAAAGCGUGGGGAUCAAACAGGAUUAGAAACCCCCGUAGUCC
This 273-nucleotide ribosomal RNA is filed under the name uncultured bacterium. Its description in RNAcentral is "partial 16S ribosomal RNA". It matches the Rfam family "Bacterial small subunit ribosomal RNA", at positions 524 to 796 of the family's 1533-position model. The record is from RNAcentral.